GUGAAUUUAGUUUAAAGAAAAACCAUUGACCUGCAAUCAACAAACUUGGGUUCAAACCCCAAAAUUUACA
RNAcentral lists this transfer RNA (70 nucleotides) under Cheiraster sp. SS-2022. Its description in RNAcentral is "tRNA-Ala". It matches the Rfam family "tRNA". Rfam says of the family: Transfer RNA (tRNA) molecules are approximately 80 nucleotides in length. Their secondary structure includes four short double-helical elements and three loops (D, anti-codon, and T loops). Further hydrogen bonds mediate the characteristic L-shaped molecular structure. tRNAs have two regions of fundamental functional importance: the anti-codon, which is responsible for specific mRNA codon recognition, and the 3' end, to which the tRNAs corresponding amino acid is attached (by aminoacyl-tRNA synthetases). tRNAs cope with the degeneracy of the genetic code in two manners: having more than one tRNA (with a specific anti-codon) for a particular amino acid; and 'wobble' base-pairing, i.e. permitting non-standard base-pairing at the 3rd anti-codon position. Lineage: Eukaryota; Metazoa; Echinodermata; Asteroidea; Notomyotida; Benthopectinidae. The record is from RNAcentral.